Molecule: ribosomal RNA, 496 nt
Filed under: uncultured bacterium
Lineage: Bacteria
Description: partial 16S ribosomal RNA
Rfam family: Bacterial small subunit ribosomal RNA
Source: RNAcentral
GAUGAACGCUGGCGGCGUGCCUAACACAUGCAAGUCGAGCGAACAGACGAGGAGCUUGCUCCUCUGACGUUAGCGGCGGACGGGUGAGUAACACGUGGAUAACCUACCUAUAAGACUGGGAUAACUUCGGGAAACCGGAGCUAAUACCGGAUAAUAUAUUGAACCGCAUGGUUCAAUAGUGAAAGACGGUUUUGCUGUCACUUAUAGAUGGAUCCGCGCCGCAUUAGCUAGUUGGUAAGGUAACGGCUUACCAAGGCGACGAUGCGUAGCCGACCUGAGAGGGUGAUCGGCCCAACUGGAACUGAGACACGGUCCAGACUCCUACGGGAGGCAGCAGUAGGGAAUCUUCCGCAAGGGGCGAAAGCCUGACGGAGCAACGCCGGGUGGGUGAUGAAGGUCUUCGGAUCGUAAAACUCUGUUAUUAGGGAAGAACAAAUGUGUAAGUAACUAUGCACGUCUUGACGGUACCAAAUCAGAAAGCCACGGCAAACUACGU